Long non-coding RNA from Catharus ustulatus (Swainson's thrush), 561 nucleotides. RefSeq lists it as uncharacterized. The record is from RefSeq and is a predicted model, not a curated record. The transcript has 3 exons. Lineage: Eukaryota; Metazoa; Chordata; Aves; Passeriformes; Turdidae.
AUUCUUGACCCUUUAUCUACUAUUUUCAUGCAUCUCUAACCCAUGGUAUGUGUUUGUUUGCUACAAUGUGAUUGUAGGCGUCUCAUCUCUGCCAAGAUGCUAAAAUAGAUGUUUGGAAAUGUUAUGAUUCAUGUUGCCAAGGUUUACUUCCAAGAUCAUGCUAGCAGCUUCCCACUGGAAAUACCAUUUCUUAAAAAAAGAAGAGAAUGAGUAUCCAAGUCGCUUUUAUGUCAAAUACAGCUUGGACAAUUGCUGAGCUUUGCUGCAGACUAAAAAACUUUGAACCACUUCAAAUGGAAAGAAAAGGCCAUAAAUCUACCCAAACCAGGAUCCCUUGAUGACUCUGACAUUCUUGUGGAAGAGGUCUGAAUGCUUUCCAUCCUCACUGCUGUAAUGUUAAUUGUGGAGAAGAUGUAUAAUAAGAAAAUUAAUAUUAAGCUACAUACCUGCUAAAUGACCAGGAGCUGAGUUCACACGACUUGACCAGGCAACUGAUGCUGUGUGUAAUAUCAGAGUUCUGUCAGUCUUUAUCCAUGUGAAAGCAUGAAUUUGUUCCUCUUC